GACGAACGCUGGCGGCGUGCCUAACACAUGCAAGUUGAGCGACGAACCAGGGCUUGCCCUGGGGCAAAGCAGCGAACGGGUGAGUAACACGUGGGUAACCUACCCCGAUAACCGGGACAACCCGAGGAAACUCGGGCUAAUACCGGAUGUGCUCACUGGACUUCGGUUCAGUGCGUAAAGGAAGCUUCGGCCUCCGUAUCGGGAGGGGCCCGCGGCCCAUUAGUUUGUUGGUGAGGUAACGGCUCACCAAGACCGCGAUGGGUAGCUGGUCUGAGAGGACGAUCAGCCACACUGGGACUGAGACACGGCCCAGACUCCUACGGGAGGCAGCAGUGGGGAAUCUGGCGCAAUGCGCGAAAGCGUGACGCAGCAACGCCGCGUGGGGGAAGAAGGCCUUCGGGUUGUAAGCCCCUUUCAGGAGGGACGAAGGUUCGGCGGUGAAUAGCCGUCCGGACUGACGGUACCUCCACAAGAAGCCCCGGCUAACUACGUG
This 493-nucleotide ribosomal RNA is filed under the name uncultured bacterium. Its description in RNAcentral is "partial 16S ribosomal RNA". It matches the Rfam family "Bacterial small subunit ribosomal RNA", at positions 28 to 507 of the family's 1533-position model. The record is from RNAcentral.